GAUGAACGCUAGCGGCAGGCCUAAUACAUGCAAGUCGGACGGGAUUCAGGAGCUUGCUUCUGAUGAGAGUGGCGCACGGGUGCGUAACACGUAUGUAACCUACCUUUAUCAGGGGGAUAGCCUCUCGAAAGAGAGAUUAAGCCCGCAUAAAAUCACAGCACAGCAUUGUGUAAUGAUCAAAUAUUUAUAGGAUAAAGAUGGGCAUGCGGAACAUUAGCUAGAUGGCGGGGUAACGGCCCACCAUGGCGACGAUGUUUAGGGGAUCUGAGAGGAUGGCCCCCCACACUGGUACUGAGACACGGACCAGACGCCUACGGGAGGCAGCAGUAAGGAAUAUUGGUCAAUGGGCGGAAGCCUGAACCAGCCAUGCCGCGUGCAGGAAGACGGCCCUACGGGUUGUAAACUGCUUUUAUACGGGAAUAAACCCAGAUACGUGUAUCUGGCUGAAUGUACUGUAAGAAUAAGGAUCGGCUAACUCCGUG
RNAcentral lists this ribosomal RNA (482 nucleotides) under uncultured bacterium. RNAcentral's name for it is "partial 16S ribosomal RNA". It matches the Rfam family "Bacterial small subunit ribosomal RNA", at positions 28 to 507 of the family's 1533-position model. The record is from RNAcentral.